ACGUAGGGUGCGAGCGUUAAUCGGAAUUACUGGGCGUAAAGCGUGCGCAGGCGGUUCUAUAAGACAGAUGUGAAAUCCCCGGGCUUAACCUGGGAACUGCGUUUGUGACUGUAGGACUUGAGUGUGGCAGAGGGGGGUAGAAUUCCACGUGUAGCAGUGAAAUGCGUAGAGAUGUGGAGGAAUACCGAUGGCGAAGGCAGCCCCCUGGGUCAACACUGACGCUCAUGCACGAAAGCGUGGGGAGCAAACAGGAUUAGAUACCCUGGUAGUCCACGCCCUAAACGAUGCGAACUAGGUGUUGGAGAAGGAGACUUCUUUAGUACCGCAGCUAACGCGUGAAGUUCGCCGCCUGGGGAGUACGGUCGCAAGAUUA
This 373-nucleotide ribosomal RNA is filed under the name uncultured bacterium. RNAcentral's name for it is "bacterial SSU rRNA". It matches the Rfam family "Bacterial small subunit ribosomal RNA", at positions 525 to 896 of the family's 1533-position model. The record is from RNAcentral.